UAUGCUGGUGACAAGGUUGAUCGCAAGUCUACAUCAGGCACAUGUCACUUUCUGGGACGAUCACUUGUAUGUUGGUCUUCAAAGAAGCAGAAUUGUGUAUCUCUUUCCACUGCUGAAUCUGAAUACAUUGCUGCUGGAUCUUGCUGCGCUCGGCUUCUGUGGAUGAAGCAAACACUCAAGGACUAUGGCAUUCAUCUGAAGCAGGUGCCACUCUACUGCGACAACGAAAGCGCCAUCAAGAUUGCCAACAACCCAGUUCAGCACUCGAAGACAAAGCACAUUGAAAUUCGUCAUCACUUUUUCAGAGAUCAUGUUGUGAAGGAAGACAUUGAUAUCAUACACGUU
RNAcentral lists this ribosomal RNA (345 nucleotides) under Triticum aestivum (bread wheat). Its description in RNAcentral is "partial small subunit ribosomal RNA". The record is from RNAcentral. Lineage: Eukaryota; Viridiplantae; Streptophyta; Magnoliopsida; Poales; Poaceae.